This 278-nucleotide ribosomal RNA is filed under the name uncultured bacterium. RNAcentral's name for it is "partial 16S ribosomal RNA". It matches the Rfam family "Bacterial small subunit ribosomal RNA", at positions 28 to 304 of the family's 1533-position model. The record is from RNAcentral.
GAUUAACGCUAGCGGCAGGCCUAAUACAUGCAAGUCGAACGGUAACAGGUGUAGCAAUACAUGCUGACGAGUGGCGCACGGGUGCGUAACGCGUAUGCAACCUACCUAUAACUGGGGAAUAGCCUUCUGAAAGGAAGAUUAACACCGCAUAAUAUCAUGAAACGGCAUCGUUUUGUGAUCAAAUCUCCGGAGGUUAUAGAUGGGCAUGCGUGACAUAGCUAGUUGGUGAGGUAACGGCUCACCAAGGCUACGACGUCUAGGGGGUCUGAGAGGAUGAU